This 252-nucleotide ribosomal RNA is filed under the name uncultured Anaerolineaceae bacterium. RNAcentral's name for it is "partial 16S ribosomal RNA". It matches the Rfam family "Bacterial small subunit ribosomal RNA", at positions 1127 to 1382 of the family's 1533-position model. The record is from RNAcentral. Lineage: Bacteria; Bacillati; Chloroflexota; Anaerolineae; Anaerolineales; Anaerolineaceae.
UUAUAUGUGUCAUACGAGACUGCCGGUAAAAGACCGGAGGAAGGUGAGGAUGAUGUCAAGUCAGCAUGACCUUAUAUCCAGGGCUACACACACGCUACAAUGGUCUGUACAAUGGGUAGCCAAGCCGCGAGGCGGAGCCAAUCCUGAAAGCAGGCCUCAGUUCAGAUUGCAGUCUGCAACUCGACUGCAUGAAGCCGGAGUUGCUAGUAACCGCAGGUCAGCAAUACUGCGGUGAAUACGUUCCCGGGUCUU